RNAcentral lists this transfer RNA (84 nucleotides) under Candidatus Giovannonibacteria bacterium RIFCSPHIGHO2_02_42_15. RNAcentral's name for it is "tRNA-Leu". It matches the Rfam family "tRNA". Rfam says of the family: Transfer RNA (tRNA) molecules are approximately 80 nucleotides in length. Their secondary structure includes four short double-helical elements and three loops (D, anti-codon, and T loops). RNAcentral also lists the same sequence under 1 other name. Lineage: Bacteria; Candidatus Giovannoniibacteriota. The record is from RNAcentral.
GCUGGGAUGGCGGAAUUGGCAGACGCGCACGGUUCAGGGCCGUGUGGGAGAAAUCCCAUGGGAGUUCAAAUCUCCCUCCCAGCA